UAACCUGGUUGAUCCUGCCAGUUAGUCAUAUGCUUGUUUCAAGGACUAAGCCAUGCAUGCCUCAGAAUCACUGCAUUGCAGGAAUCUGCGCAUGGCUCAUUACAUCAGACGUAAUCUGCCGCAAAAAUGUUGCGGUCUCCGCAAAAUUGGAUACCUUGGCGAAACGCCAAGCUAAUACAUGAACCAACUAGAC
This 193-nucleotide ribosomal RNA is filed under the name uncultured eukaryote. RNAcentral's name for it is "partial 18S ribosomal RNA". It matches the Rfam family "Eukaryotic small subunit ribosomal RNA", at positions 1 to 185 of the family's 1831-position model. The record is from RNAcentral.